Molecule: long non-coding RNA, 286 nt
Filed under: Elaeis guineensis (African oil palm)
Lineage: Eukaryota; Viridiplantae; Streptophyta; Magnoliopsida; Arecales; Arecaceae
Description: long non-coding RNA (EGUI_LNC002158)
Source: RNAcentral
GGUGGGGCAUUUUAAAAAUCACACUCUGUCCUUCUCCCUCCUUCUAUCUUAAUGAACCACCAUCCCUUUUCAUCGAAGAUUAAUGUGUGGCAAUAAAAAGAUGAGCGACAGACCCAAACGACGAAGGAAGAGGAAGAAGGAAAACAGUAUGUGGCUGCGAGAAGACGAACGGUGAAGUGGAGGUGGAGGAAAAAGAGAGCAGCAAGUUCGAGUGGUGAAAGGAGAAAGAGGAUAGAGAAGUGAGCGGCAGGCUCAAAUGGCAGAAAGGGAAAGGGAUAGGGAGGUG